Molecule: ribosomal RNA, 936 nt
Filed under: Tropicoporia centrali-africana
Lineage: Eukaryota; Fungi; Basidiomycota; Agaricomycetes; Polyporales; Polyporaceae
Description: Perenniporia centrali-africana partial 28S large subunit ribosomal RNA
Source: RNAcentral
AAACUUCGGCAGGAACCCAGCUACUAGAUGGUUCGAUUAGUCUUUCGCCCCUAUACCCAAAUUUGACGAUCGAUUUGCACGUCAGAAUCGCUACGAGCCUCCACCAGAGUUUCCUCUGGCUUCACCCUAUUCAGGCAUAGUUCACCAUCUUUCGGGUCCCAACAUACAUGCUCUACCGCGGAUCCGUCAGAGAACGUCAGGUCCGGGCGUCGGUGCCCUCCACGACAGAGGUCCCAACUUUCACUUUCAUUACGCGCUCGGGUUUUCCACCCAAACACUCGCAGGUAUGUUAGACUCCUUGGUCCGUGUUUCAAGACGGGUCGUUUAAAGCCAUUAUGCCAGCAUCCUAAGCGCGAAAGUGGGCGAACCCCUGCCUUGCGGCGCGCUGCGUUCCUCGAUCCCAACCGCCGUAUGCGACUAGAGUCUAUAACACACCCGGAGGUGCCACAUUACUCUAGCCCUUUUCCGACGGUCAAAAUCGAUGCUGGCCCGUCAACCGGAAAGUGCACCAAGCAAAAGCAAGGCUGAGUUCCGGCCGACGCGACUGACUUCAAGCGUUUCCCUUUCAGCAAUUUCACGUACUGUUUAACUCUCUUUCCAAAGUGCUUUUCAUCUUUCCCUCACGGUACUUGUUCGCUAUCGGUCUCUCGCCAAUAUUUAGCUUUAGAUGGAAUUCACCACCCAUUUUGAGCUGCAUUCCCAAACAACUCGACUCUUUGAGAGCGCAUCACAAAGCACUGGUAGUCCGUGUCAAAGACGGGAUUCUCACCCUCUAUGACGCUCUGUUCCAAGAGACUUAUACACGGUCCAGCGCGGAAAGCACUUCUCCAGACUACAACUCGAGACGGCCAAAGACCGCCAGAUUUUAAAUUUGAGCUUUUCCCGCUUCACUCGCAGUUACUAGGGGGAAUCCNUGUUAGUUUCNUUUUCCCUCCG